Molecule: ribosomal RNA, 497 nt
Filed under: uncultured bacterium
Lineage: Bacteria
Description: partial 16S ribosomal RNA
Rfam family: Bacterial small subunit ribosomal RNA
Source: RNAcentral
GAUGAACGCUGGCGGCGUGCCUAAUACAUGCAAGUCGAGCGAACGGACGAGAAGCUUGCUUCUCUGAUGUUAGCGGCGGACGGGUGAGUAACACGUGGAUAACCUACCUAUAAGACUGGGAUAACUUCGGGAAACCGGAGCUAAUACCGGAUAAUAUUUUGAACCACAUGGUUCAAAAGUGAAAGACGGUCUUGCUGUCACUUAUAGAUGGAUCCGCGCUGCAUUAGCUAGUUGGUAAGGUAACGGCUUACCAAGGCAACGAUGCAUAGCCGACCUGAGAGGGUGAUCGGCCACACUGGAACUGAGACACGGUCCAGACUCCUACGGGAGGCAGCAGUAGGGAAUCUUCCGCAAUGGGCGAAAGCCUGACGGAGCAACGCCGCGUGAGUGAUGAAGGUCUUCGGAUUGUAAAACUCUGUUAUUAGGGAAGAACAUAUGUGUAAGUAACUGUGCACAUCUUGACGGUACCUACUCAGAAAGCCACGGCUAACUACGUG